CGAUAGUAGCAAAGCCCCGUUCUAACUGUCCCGGCGUAUCAACCUGUUUUUGGCCGACUCAAAAAGCAGUUCUCAUAAGUAAACUCGGCAGACAUUAACAACCCUUUCUCCUCCCGACCGCCCACACGCCGCCUACUCUCGCCUCUCGGCUCCAUCCGACUUCGCUGCCUCCUCUCGGCUCCAACGCACUCGGCGAGCGAAGGCACGGAGGAAAGCAAGAAGCAAGAAGCAAGAACGAAGCAAAGAGGCCAAGUAGUUUUACAAGCCCUAAUCCCUCGCAGCGAUCCUCUCGUCCAAAUUCCAAGUGAAAGGAUAUGUAAGAGAAGUAGAAUAUGAGACCUCUUGCAAAAUGGGAGUGAAAAUAGAACAUACAAAGUUUCUGGUGCGGCUGGUCCAGUGAACAACAAGGUUCGUCAUGUUUCCAAUGAGGUAAGCUGUCAGUCCCAAAUUGAACAGCAUGUAGAAAAUAUCAAAUAACAUCUCUCUCGUGUUCUCAGCAUGUAAGUCACCAUAACCAGUUGUUGUUAGUGUUGUAAUAGACCAGUAUAUUGCUGUUACAUAUCUAAUCCACAGGCUUUCUUCCCUGAA
Phoenix dactylifera (date palm) is the source of this 588-nucleotide long non-coding RNA. RefSeq lists it as uncharacterized. The record is from RefSeq and is a predicted model, not a curated record. Lineage: Eukaryota; Viridiplantae; Streptophyta; Magnoliopsida; Arecales; Arecaceae.